This 489-nucleotide ribosomal RNA is filed under the name uncultured bacterium. RNAcentral describes it as "bacterial SSU rRNA". It matches the Rfam family "Bacterial small subunit ribosomal RNA", at positions 1 to 493 of the family's 1533-position model. The record is from RNAcentral.
GGGCGAUGUUUGAUCCUGGCUCAGAGCGAACGCUGGCGGCGUGCCUAACACAUGCAAGUCGAACGUGAAAAGGGGCAACCCUGAGUAAAGUGGCGUACGGGUGAGUAACGCGUAGGUAAUCUACCCCAGAAUCUGGAAUAACCGGCCGAAAGGCUGGCUAAUACUGGAUAGAGCGAUGGAAUCCGUAAUUGGGUUUUUCGGGAAAGGGAGCCUGUAAGGGCCUUCGUUCUGGGAUGAGCCUGCGUCUCAUUAGCUAGUUGGCGGGGUAAUGGCCCACCAAGGCUAGGAUGGGUAGCCGGCCUGAGAGGGCGACCGGCCACACUGGGACUGAGACACGGCCCAGACUCCUACGGGAGGCAGCAGUGGGGAAUAUUGCACAAUGGGCGAAAGCCUGAUGCAGCGACGCCGCGUGAGGGAUGAAGGCCUUCGGGUUGUAAACCUCUUUCAGCAGGGAAGAAGCGAAAGUGACGGUACCUGCAGAAGAAGCAA